AGCAGCCGCGGUAAUUCCAGCUCCAAUAGCGUAUAUUAAAGUUGUUGCAGUUAAAAAGCUCGUAGUUGAAUUUUAGGCCUGGCCAGGCGGUCCGUCUUUGGCGAGUACUGUCUUGUUGUCGGGUCUUCCUUCUGGUGAACCAGUAUGUCCUUCAUUGGGUGUGUUGGGGAGCCAGGACCAUUACCUUGAAAAAAUUAGAGUGUUUAAAGCGGGCUAUUGCUUGAAUAGAUUAGCAUGGAAUAAUAGAAUAGGACGUUGUGGUUCUAUUUUGUUGGUUUCUAGGACCACCGUAAUGAUUAAUAGGGAUAGUUGGGGGGCAUUAGUAUUCAAUUGUCAGAGGUGAAAUUCUUGGAUUUAUUGAAGACUAACUACUGCGAAAGCAUUUGCCAAGGAUGUUUUCAUUAAUCAAGAACGAAAGUUAGGGGAUCGAAGACGAUCAGAUACCGUCGUAGUCUUAACCAUAAACUAUGCCGACUAGGAAUCGGGCGACGUUAUUUUUACGACUCGCCUUCGGCGCCUU
This 520-nucleotide ribosomal RNA is filed under the name uncultured Glomeromycotina. RNAcentral's name for it is "SSU rRNA". It matches the Rfam family "Eukaryotic small subunit ribosomal RNA", at positions 569 to 1089 of the family's 1831-position model. The record is from RNAcentral. Lineage: Eukaryota; Fungi; Glomeromycota.